GACGGACGCUGGCGGCGUGCUUAACACAUGCAAGUCGAACGGAAAGGCCCUGCUUUUGUGGGGUGCUCGAGUGGCGAACGGGUGAGUAACACGUGAGUAACCUGCCCUUGACUUUGGGAUAACUUCAGGAAACUGGGGCUAAUACCGGAUAGGAGCUCCUGCUGCAUGGUGGGGGUUGGAAAGUUUCGGCGGUUGGGGAUGGACUCGCGGCUUAUCAGCUUGUUGGUGGGGUAGUGGCUUACCAAGGCUUUGACGGGUAGCCGGCCUGAGAGGGUGACCGGCCACAUUGGUCCUGAGAUACGGCCCAGUCUCCUACGGGAGGCAGCAGUGGGGAAUAUUGCACAAUGGGCGGAAGCCUGAUGCAGCAACGCCGCGUUCGGGAUGACGGCCUUCGGGUUAUAAACCGCUUUCGCCUGUGACGAAGCGUGAGUGACGGUAAUGGGUAAAGAAGCACCGGCUAACUACGUG
This 468-nucleotide ribosomal RNA is filed under the name uncultured bacterium. RNAcentral's name for it is "partial 16S ribosomal RNA". It matches the Rfam family "Bacterial small subunit ribosomal RNA", at positions 28 to 507 of the family's 1533-position model. The record is from RNAcentral.